This 300-nucleotide unclassified non-coding RNA is filed under the name fungal sp. RNAcentral describes it as "partial contains small subunit ribosomal RNA and internal transcribed spacer 1". The stretch from base 1 to 46 matches the Rfam family "Eukaryotic small subunit ribosomal RNA", at positions 1786 to 1831 of the family's 1831-position model. The record is from RNAcentral. Lineage: Eukaryota; Fungi.
AAGUCGUAACAAGGUUUCCGUAGGUGAACCUGCGGAAGGAUCAUUAUCACGUAUCCACGUAUAAACCAUUGUGAACUGUCAAAACCUUUGGAAGAAUCAGAAUGAAAACGAACGAUUUAAAGGUCCUUUUGUAAUUUAAGACCCAGUUCGGUUUCGUGCUAGCGGGCAACCGCCGGCUAUGGUUAUUCUAAAGUGUAUUUAAAUUACAUUUGAUUAACAAUUUGAACAACCUUUUAAACUUUGAACUAAAUUGUUUCUUACUCUUAACGGAGAAGAAAUUCAUUACGAAACAAAGAACAA